RNAcentral lists this ribosomal RNA (492 nucleotides) under uncultured bacterium. Its description in RNAcentral is "partial 16S ribosomal RNA". It matches the Rfam family "Bacterial small subunit ribosomal RNA", at positions 29 to 507 of the family's 1533-position model. The record is from RNAcentral.
AGUGAACGCUGGCGGUAGGCCUAACACAUGCAAGUCGAACGGCAGCACAGUAAGAGCUUGCUCUUACGGGUGGCGAGUGGCGGACGGGUGAGGAAUACAUCGGAAUCUACUUUUUCGUGGGGGAUAACGUAGGGAAACUUACGCUAAUACCGCAUACGACCUACGGGUGAAAGCAGGGGAGCUUCGGACCUUGCGCGUUUGAAUGAGCCGAUGUCGGAUUAGCUAGUUGGCGGGGUAAAGGCCCACCAAGGCGACGAUCCGUAGCUGGUCUGAGAGGAUGAUCAGCCACACUGGAACUGAGACACGGUCCAGACUCCUACGGGAGGCAGCAGUGGGGAAUAUUGGACAAAGGGCGCAAGCCUGAUCCAGCCAUACCGCGUGGGUGAAGAAGGCCUUCGGGUUGUAAAGCCCUUUUGUUGGGAAAGAAAAGCAGCAGGUUAAUACCCCGCUGUUCUGACGGUACCCAAAGAAUAAGCACCGGCUAACUUCGUG